This is a long non-coding RNA of Pomacea canaliculata, 753 nucleotides long. RefSeq lists it as uncharacterized. The transcript is spliced from 5 exons. Lineage: Eukaryota; Metazoa; Mollusca; Gastropoda; Architaenioglossa; Ampullariidae. The record is from RefSeq and is a predicted model, not a curated record.
GUCGUCUGUGUUAGAUAAAUGUAAACACAUUCGUUUCAGUUGGAGCUUCUUGACUCGAGCAGUUACCAUGUGGCGAAUUGCAUCUGUGUUCUGGCUUCUUGUAGCUUUUGGUGUCAAUGAUGCUCGAACUCCAAGAGGAAGACCUUGGAGAAUAUCAAUGAAAACAGCGGAUGUAGACCAUGCCGGUACUGACGCCAGUGUCUACAUCAUCUUGAUGGAUUCUUAAUGGCAGAGACAAUCACCGCAUAUAUACUUGGACAAUGUAUUUCUGAAUGACCAUGAGCGAAAUUCCGUAGACCACUUCAAUAGAUACGACAGUGUUAACCUCAGGGACGUAUGCGCUAUCACAAUCUAUCAUGAUAACACUGGCACUCACCCUGGCUGGUUUCUCGAAAAGGUGUGGCUGAAGUCUGAUGAAAGCCAAAACGAUCGCGUAUUUAAUAUCAGCCGCUGGGUCCCAACAGAGCAAGAAGCGAUGGAAUCACACUAUGUAGUAGAGCGCACGCCACCGUGUAGCGAAGGUCCCCUGCCGUGAUGGAUCAACGUGGCAAUGGUAGACAGCGGAUGACAAGGAUGGAGAGAAGUAACGUGGCUUUGGAGCAGAUUUCCUGAGGUCAACUUACAGUACUGUGAAGUGAAUUUUUUCACCGUCUAAACUUUGAAGGCAUCCAGGACUCAAAUAGUUGGUUAAUAUUCUUUUAUUUGUAGAACUUUCUGGCAUGUCAUAAUAAAGAACGUCUGUUCAUGCAUGAA